GGUGGAUCCAAAAUAUCAUGCGAGCAGAAAAAGUGGUAGGUCUUUGGUGCUCUGUUUGAUUUUAAACCAGAAGCUACGUCAAUGACUGUUCCAGAUCCUGACUUCCAUAAUUUCGACAAGGAUAGAAUGGAAAAAUCUUUUGAUGAGAAUCAAGUCUUGGUUGCUUAUGAUAAUGAUGAUGGCAUGCCACACUAUUAUGAACUGAUUCGCGAUAUGAUAUCUAAAAUCCAUUCAAAGUGCAAUUCUGCUGGUU
Molecule: unclassified non-coding RNA, 253 nt
Filed under: Hevea brasiliensis (rubber tree)
Lineage: Eukaryota; Viridiplantae; Streptophyta; Magnoliopsida; Malpighiales; Euphorbiaceae
Source: RNAcentral